RNAcentral lists this ribosomal RNA (479 nucleotides) under uncultured organism. RNAcentral describes it as "partial 16S ribosomal RNA". It matches the Rfam family "Bacterial small subunit ribosomal RNA", at positions 329 to 799 of the family's 1533-position model. The record is from RNAcentral.
ACGUACACUCCUGCGGGAGGCAGCAGUGGGGAAUUUUGGACAAUGGGCGCAAGCCUGAUCCAGCCAUGCCGCGUGCGGGAAGAAGGCCUUCGGGUUGUAAACCGCUUUUGUCAGGGAAGAAAAGGUUCUGGCUAAUACCUGGGACUCAUGACGGUACCUGAAGAAUAAGCACCGGCUAACUACGUGCCAGCAGCCGCGGUAAUACGUAGGGUGCAAGCGUUAAUCGGAAUUACUGGGCGUAAAGCGUGCGCAGGCGGUUAUGCAAGACAGAGGUGAAAUCCCCGGGCUCAACCUGGGAACUGCCUUUGUGACUGCAUGGCUAGAGUACGGUAGAGGGGGAUGGAAUUCCGCGUGUAGCAGUGAAAUGCGUAGAUAUGCGGAGGAACACCGAUGGCGAAGGCAAUCCCCUGGACCUGUACUGACGCUCAUGCACGAAAGCGUGGGGAGCAAACAGGAUUAUAAACCCGAGUAGUCCCAUG